GGGCACUGGGGUGGGAUAUGGGGACAUCGGGGCCCUUUGGGUCUGUUUGCGGGAAUUUAGGGUCGCUGGGGAUAGGAUUUGGGGCCGAUUGGGGCCAUUUUGAGCCCAGUUAGGGCCAUUCGGGGCCACUUAGGGCCACCUAGGGCAGGAUUUGGGUCUAUUUAGAGCUAUUUGGGGCCUUUUGGGGUUCCUAAUAACAAAAUGUUAAGGCGUUUGGGGUUUUUCAGGGUCGCUAACAACAGCAUUUAGGGCUACGUGAACCUAUUUAGGUCCACUUAGGACCCCUAAAAAUAGGGAUUUCCGCUCAUUUAAGACAUUUAGGAUAGGAUUUGAGACUUUUUACGGCUAUUUACAGCUUUUCAGAUUCCUAAAUAAACAAUUUGGGGCCAUUUGGGGCCAUUUGGAGGCUAUUUAGGGCUAUUUACGGUGGGGAGACGACCCCGGGGUACUUUUGGGGUGCUGGGGGGUAUCUAUGGGGCACCGUGGGGUGUCUAUGGGGCUCCGUGGGGCACUAUAGGUUAUCUAUAGGGCAUUAUGGGGUGCCUAUGGGUCGCUGUGGGGCACUGUGGGGUGUCUAUACGGCCCUAUGGGUCGCUGUGGGGCACCGUGGGGCCCUAUAGGUUAUCUAUAGGGCAUUAUAGGGUGUCCAUGGGUCGUUGUGGGGCGCCGUGGGGUACCUGUGGGGCACUGUGGGGUGUCUAUGGGGCGCUGUGGGGCUCCGUGGGGCCCUAUAGGUUAUCUAUAGGGCAUUAUAGGGUGUCUAUGGGUUG
This 770-nucleotide long non-coding RNA is filed under the name Anser cygnoides (Swan goose). RNAcentral's name for it is "lncRNA (ENSACDG00005007926.1)". Lineage: Eukaryota; Metazoa; Chordata; Aves; Anseriformes; Anatidae. The record is from RNAcentral.